Molecule: ribosomal RNA, 252 nt
Filed under: uncultured bacterium
Lineage: Bacteria
Description: partial 16S ribosomal RNA
Rfam family: Bacterial small subunit ribosomal RNA
Source: RNAcentral
CGGACGGGUGAGUAAUGUCUGGGAAACUGCCUGAUGGAGGGGGAUAACUACUGGAAACGGUAGCUAAUACCGCAUAACGUCGCAAGACCAANAGGGGGACCUUCGGGCCNCUUGCCAUCGGAUGUGCCCAGAUGGGAUUAGCUAGUAGGUGGGGUAACGGCUCACCUAGGCGACGAUCCCUAGCUGGUCUGAGAGGAUGACCAGCCACACUGGAACUGAGACACGGUCCAGACUCCUACGGGAGGCAGCAUG